AGCGAACGCUGGCGGCAGGCUUAACACAUGCAAGUCGAGCGGGCAUCCUUGUGGUGUCAGCGGCAGACGGGUGAGUAACGCGUGGGAACGUGCCCUUCGGUUCGGAAUAACUCAGGGAAACUUGAGCUAAUACCGGAUACGUGCGAGAGCAGAAAGGUUUAUCUGCCGAAGGAUCGGCCCGCGUCUGAUUAGCUAGUUGGUGAGGUUAUGGUUCACCAAGGCGACGAUCAGUAGCUGGUCUGAGAGGAUGAUCAGCCACACUGGGACUGAGACACGGCCCAGACUCCUACGGGAGGCAGCAGUGGGGAAUAUUGGACAAUGGGGGCAACCCUGAUCCAGCCAUGCCGCGUGAGUGAUGACGGCCUUAGGGUUGUAAAGCUCUUUUCUUCGGGACGAUAAUGACGGUACCGGAGGAAUAAGCCCCGGCUAACUUCGUG
RNAcentral lists this ribosomal RNA (437 nucleotides) under uncultured bacterium. Its description in RNAcentral is "partial 16S ribosomal RNA". It matches the Rfam family "Bacterial small subunit ribosomal RNA", at positions 29 to 507 of the family's 1533-position model. The record is from RNAcentral.